CUGGCGACCAUAGCAAGAGUGAACCACCUGAUCCCUUCCCGAACUCAGAAGUGAAACCUCUUAGCGCUGAGACUAGGACGUUGA
RNAcentral lists this ribosomal RNA (84 nucleotides) under Acinetobacter baumannii. Lineage: Bacteria; Pseudomonadati; Pseudomonadota; Gammaproteobacteria; Moraxellales; Moraxellaceae. The record is from RNAcentral.